RNAcentral lists this ribosomal RNA (550 nucleotides) under uncultured bacterium. Its description in RNAcentral is "bacterial SSU rRNA". It matches the Rfam family "Bacterial small subunit ribosomal RNA", at positions 355 to 896 of the family's 1533-position model. The record is from RNAcentral.
UGGGGAAUCUUCCGCAAUGGACGAAAGUCUGACGGAGCAACGCCGCGUGAGUGAUGACGGCCUUCGGGUUGUAAAGCUCUGUUAAUCGGGACGAAAGGUCUUCUUGCGAAUAGUUAGAAGAAUUGACGGUACCGGAAUAGAAAGCCACGGCUAACUGCGUGCCAGCAGCCGCGGUAAUACGUAGGUGGCAAGCGUUGUCCGGAAUUAUUGGGCGUAAAGCGCGCGCAGGCGGAUUGGUCAGUCUGUCUUAAAAGUUCGGGGCUUAACCCCGUGAUGGGAUGGAAACUGCCAAUCUAGAGUAUCGGAGAGGAAAGUGGAAUUCCUAGUGUAGCGGUGAAAUGCGUAGAUAUUAGGAAGAACACCAGUGGCGAAGGUGACUUUCUGGACGAAAACUGACGCUGAGGCGCGAAAGCCAGGGGAGCGAACGGGAUUAGAUACCCCGGUAGUCCUGGCCGUAAACGAUGGGUACUAGGUGUAGGAGGUAUCGACCCCUUCUGUGCCGGAGUUAACGCAAUAAGUACCCCGCCUGGGGAGUACGACCGCAAGGUUG